UGCGCAGGCGGUCCCGCAAGUCCGUUGUGAAAGCCCCGGGCUUAACCUGGGAAUGGCAGUGGAAACUAGGGGACUUGAAUCUGGCAGAGGGGGGUGGAAUGCCACGUGUAGCAGUGAAAUGCGUAGAGAUGUGGCGGAACACCGAUGGCGAAGGCAGCCCCCUGGGCUGAGAUUGACGCUCAGGCACGAAAGCGUGGGGAGCAAACAGGAUUAGAUACCCUGGUAGUCCACGCCCUAAACGAUGAUCACUAGGUGUUGGGGAAGCGAUUUCUCAGUACCGCAGCUAACGCGUGAAGUGAUCCGCCUGGGGAGUACGGUCGCAAGAUUAAA
RNAcentral lists this ribosomal RNA (330 nucleotides) under uncultured bacterium. RNAcentral describes it as "bacterial SSU rRNA". It matches the Rfam family "Bacterial small subunit ribosomal RNA", at positions 568 to 898 of the family's 1533-position model. The record is from RNAcentral.